UGUUUCCCUUUCAAAUUCUGUGUGAAAACCCUAACGUUUUUUCACAAAGUUCAUCGCUAAUAUGAAUCUAUCGAUCUCCUUCUUCACCAUUCUCGCAAAUCCCCUUCCAAUGCCAUAUUUGGUUUUGAGGAAGAUGUGGAAACGACCCUUGAAAAAUUUCCGCCACAGAGGCAGAGUAUGCUUUUUUCAGUAAUGAUGCCCCGUUGGGUUCAGAAACUCUUGAGGAAAUACUUGAAAACACCAUUGACAAUCGAUUUGGUUGGUGACCAAGAUGCAUGAUGAGGCGGAUUAAAUGCUUGCGGUUGGGUUUAAGGAAGAUGUGGAAACGACCCUUGAAAAUCUUCCGCCAGAGGCAGAGUAUAUACCAGAAGCUUUUAUUUACUAAAAAUCUAAAAUUAUCAUCAAAAGCAUAAAUUGGGACACUGAUUUUUUACACCAAAAGCUUUAGAAAUCACAUGCUAGCAAAGCCUCACCUAUAUUUGUUUAAUGAAAAACCGUAACUUGGUUCAUUACGGGGCAAGGCCGGCUGUUUCAGCUAGGGGUGAGCAUAUCGGUUACGGUUCGGUUAAUGGGAUAAUCCAUAACCAUAACCGAUAGUUCGGUUAUGGGAGAAUCCGUAAUGGUAACCGUAACCGAUCAUUGGUUUCGGUUAAGUUCAGUUAAUCCUCGGUUACGGUUCAGUUUCGGUUAACGCAUUAUUAAAAAAAAGUGUGGCAUAUUGCAAUUUUGCUGUAUUUUUUAAAAUAAAUCGGUUGUUGUUCGGGUUAAUGCAUUAUUCAUUAUUCAGUUUCGAGUGUUUUCGGAAGCUUCAAAUGAAGAAAAGUAAGCUGCAAGUGCAUCUACAAAUGAAGAAGAUGAAACACAAUCGGUUCGGUUCGGUUAUGGUUGGUUAUGAAGAUCAUCUUAUACAUAACUAACCAUAACCGAAUGGUUCGGUUAUGAGAUCUCCAUAACCAUAAUCGAUCGGUUUGGUCGGUUUUCAGUUAAUUUCGGUUAAUUGUUUCAGUUACCGGUUCGGUUUUCGGCUACGGUUGAUAUCCUCUUUUUAAUAUGAUUAUGUUGUGUUUUAAACCAAACCCCGAAAGUAUUUCAAACUUUAACGACCGACCAACCAACCCAUCAUUUAACGGUUUACUGACAUUGAACCAAAAGCUAUUCAUUUACCGGUAAACACUCUUUUCCGAUUCGUUUACCGGUAAACACUAGCGUUGCUCGAACCACUUUCCGAUUCGUUUACCGGAUUAAAAGUCUCAUGGACAUAUCCACAUCUUCUCUGUCGGAGACGAAAUUUACAGAGAUAAUCAAAUCGGUAGGCCUCGGCAAGUUGAAAUUUGGUUCCAAAACAGAAGAGCCAGGUUCAAGUUUCAUUUAAAUACUCUUGAAAGAUCUCUCUUGCGGAUGGAUCUGCUGCUCCUCCUACCCCUGUUGAUACGUGCAAUUCGGCUCUUGAGAAAUGUAUUCAAGUGUAUCAAAAUCUCCUAAGUUGUUUUACUUAACAAAAAGUUAGAUUAUUGUAAUUUUAUUUGAUUUUUUAGUUAUAAAUGUCUCUAUUAUUAUUAUUAUUAUUUUUUUUUUUUUUUUUUUUUUUUGU
RNAcentral lists this long non-coding RNA (1591 nucleotides) under Helianthus annuus (common sunflower). RNAcentral describes it as "hypothetical non coding rna". Lineage: Eukaryota; Viridiplantae; Streptophyta; Magnoliopsida; Asterales; Asteraceae. The record is from RNAcentral.